Molecule: long non-coding RNA, 2420 nt
Organism: Myripristis murdjan (pinecone soldierfish)
Lineage: Eukaryota; Metazoa; Chordata; Actinopteri; Holocentriformes; Holocentridae
Exons: 4
Source: RefSeq, a predicted model, not a curated record
CGAGCUUCAGAACUUUCGAGGAAAACCGUUGGCGGUGGUUAGCCAACAUGACAAUCAGCUGCACCUGUGUCUUCCUGGUUAAAAACCGCCUGAUGUUUUCCUCACCCUUGAGUGAACAGUCAGAGGCUGACUGCAGCUGUGUUGUGGAAGUCUGGCUCCAUGUGGUUACAAGCAUCAGCAGUAAAGGCCUGGACCUGAAUGGAGCCCUGGUUCCAGUGUUGGAUGUCAGAUUCAUGAGAGGAACUCUACAUGAACUCUACUUGAACUCUACAUGAAGACCACAUAAGAAGACUCAACAAGAGGACUGGCAUCAACAGACAGGCAGGCAGACUUAAAAAGAGACAGAGACAGGUUAACAGAUAGACAGGAACAUGUUGAGAAGAUCUUAGUACCCAUAAGGCCUUGCACGGCCCAGCAGGCGGGGUUACACGGAGGCAGAGAUGAACCUGACCAACCACAGGCCGUCGCCCGGGGAUACAGGCUCCACCCACCACUGAUCUCCAGGGUGACUUACAGCUGACCCAGUGCCUCACGCGCCGGCAUCUGAACCCUAAUUGGCCGACAGUGCAGGUCGGCAAUGGAACACAUACACAUAAACACACACACAUACACAAAAAUACAUAUACACACACAUUAUAUCAAACACACGUUCUGUAUACACGUAUAAAUCUGGCAUAACAAAGCUUCAGCUGGAGGAAGGAAAUAUGUUUGUGUGUAUUGCUGUGUGUGUGAGUGUGUGUGUGUGUGUGUGUGUGUGUGUGUGUGUGUGUGUGUGUGUGUGUGUGUGUGUGUGUGUGUGCGGGGCAACACAAGCUGUGUACUUAAAUUUUCUUUCCAAAGACAAAAAGACACUUGAAAAUGUGAUGCUCUAAUGUAGUUUUUCUCGUCUUGGUCAUGUAAAAUAUAAAAUGAACGUUUAAAUGUAUUUUUCACCAUUAUUACUGAUGAGGUUAGCACUGAAACUCUCUCUCUCUCUCUCUCUCUCUCUCUCUCUCUCUCUCUCUCUCUCUCUCACACACACACACACACACACACACACACACACACACACACACACACAGACACACAUGCACUUCUGUCAUAGUGAUUCAUUAUCAGGCAGUGCAGGUAAAUCAGGCCUAACUAAUAGCCUGUCUGAAAGACCAUGACUGGUGACUCAAUGCUAAAUACUCUGAUGUGCUGUGUGUGUGUGUGUGUGUGUGCGUGUGCGUGUGCGUGUGUGCGUGCGUGUGCUAUAGGAUUUAUAGUCUAAGUAUUAACACCUAUCAGAAUGUGUAUGUGUUUGUGCAUGUGUGUCUAAUUUUUACUGACUCCAAGCUGUCUUAGUGUGUGACCCUGAAAUGUGACUGCAUGGCUUUUAGUUCAGUGGGUGUGCAUGUACACAUGUGUAUGUGUGUGUGUGUGUGUGUGUGUGUGUGUGUGUGUGUGGUCAUCUGAUUAUAUUUACUGUAUUGUGCGUGUAUGACUACAUAUAUUUGUGUGUAUUAUCCUACAGUGUAGUUGUGUGUGUGUGUGUGUGUGUGUGUGUGUGUGGUCAAAUAUAUAAUAAUAUAUGAAUAGAAUUACUUUUAAAUGAGUGGCUUAACUGUUGGGUGAGGAGAGAAGAGAGGAGAGAAAGGGCACAAAAGAGGAAAGGAGGAGGGAAGAAAGACAAGAAAACAGGAAAGAGAAGAGGAUAGAGGAGAGAAAGAGGAAGAGGAGAAAUGGAUGGAGUGAGGGUAAAGAAGAGGAGUCUGUCAGCAUCAGCAGGUUUUCUAAUUAUCACCUUGACUGUGGAGCUGAAGAGGGGAGGUGAAAAGUGGGUAGAGGAGAGGAGGUGUAAGGAGGUCCAAGAGAGGGAAAAAAUCAAGAGGAGGUAGGUAGAGUAAUCGAAGGUUAUAAGGAGGUGAGAGAUCAAGAACAAGGUAAAGAGGAGGAGGAGGAAGGGUGAGAAGGAGAGAGGUGAAAGUAGAGUUUGAUUGGUUUCAUUUUCACAGCCUGGAGGUCAUCCAGCUUCCCUGUUCCUCUGAACCCUGUCCAAGACACACAACACGCACAUACUUCUCUCUCUCUCCCUCAUCUCACUUGUUUCUUUAAUUUCUGUCUGUAUAUGUGUCUCCUCUGUCAUAUGAUUAGUCUUAUGAAGGUUGGUAAAGUUUUGAUUCAUCACUGUUCACGUAAAUUAAAACUCAACCAGCAGCCAACCAGUGGUGACAGAAGCAGCAUUUUCAUUAAACAUAUGAAUUAAUUUCAUGCAAAUAUUAAAAUGCUGAGAAAAAAAUUAAGUAAAUUAACAUGUUGUACUAACAUUUAUUUAAGUGAAUGAUGAGUCAUAGCUUUGUGUGGGUGGGCUUGAUAAUGAAACGUUGCGUGCUAGUUACACAGUUGUGUCUUGUUUUGCAAAAAUGCAUUUUUGCAUUUGUACUUCUAAAUUGUCUAAC